Molecule: long non-coding RNA, 391 nt
Filed under: Elaeis guineensis (African oil palm)
Lineage: Eukaryota; Viridiplantae; Streptophyta; Magnoliopsida; Arecales; Arecaceae
Description: long non-coding RNA (EGUI_LNC008335)
Source: RNAcentral
UGCUAGCCAAAUUGUAGCCCUCAAACACCGCAUUCCUGCAUGUCAUGGUUCCUUUGUAGUUUGUCUGUCAGUGCUUCACCAUAGCAGAUCUAGGUUCUUCAAAUUUCAACUAGGAACGGAUUUCUUUUGUGCAUUACUACUGAUUCUUAUUGGAUCAGAUGUGUCUGUAUCUUGUUUGAAAAAUAGUUCUCGAUCCUUUGUGGGCAAAAAGAAAGAGAAAAACCAAAUUAGCAUUCUGUUGAGAAUGAAGUACAAUAUCAUGUAACGAUAUAGAAGUUUCAAUAAUGAAAAUGGAGGAUUUUGACAUAAUCAGUUCACUUUGUUGCGCAUUUCAGGGGAGAUGUAGGUCUGAGCAUUUUCAAACAUCCUCUUAACAUCAGCAACGAACGUC